Molecule: ribosomal RNA, 350 nt
Filed under: uncultured bacterium
Lineage: Bacteria
Description: bacterial SSU rRNA
Rfam family: Bacterial small subunit ribosomal RNA
Source: RNAcentral
GAGAAUAUUCCACAAUGGACGAAAGUCUGAUGGAGCGACGCCGCGUGCGGGAUGAAGGCCCUCGGGUUGUAAACCGCUUUUUUCAGGGAGCAAUUUCGAUGAGAGUACCUGAAGAAUAAGAGGUUACUAACUCUGUGCCAGCAGUAGCGGUAAUACAGAGACCUCAAGCGUUAUCCGGAUUUAUUGGGCGUAAAGCGCAGGUAGGCGGGUUUAUUAGUCGGAUGUCAAAGACCGGGGCUCAACUCCGGGAAGGCAUUCGAAACGGUAUACCUAGAGAAUGUGAGAGAUGAGUGGAAUUCAUGGUGUAGUAGUGAAAUGCGUUGAUAUCAUGAGGAACACCGAAGGCGAAG